RNAcentral lists this ribosomal RNA (653 nucleotides) under uncultured Bacteroides sp. RNAcentral describes it as "bacterial SSU rRNA". It matches the Rfam family "Bacterial small subunit ribosomal RNA", at positions 70 to 715 of the family's 1533-position model. The record is from RNAcentral. Lineage: Bacteria; Pseudomonadati; Bacteroidota; Bacteroidia; Bacteroidales; Bacteroidaceae.
CAUGGUCUUAGCUUGCUAAGGCCGAUGGCGACCGGCGCACGGGUGAGUAACACGUAUCCCACCUGCCGUCUACUCUUGGACAGCCUUCUGAAAGGAAGAUUAAUACAAGAUGGCAUCAUGAGUUCGCAUGUUCACAUGAUUAAAGGUAUUCCGGUAGACGAUGGGGAUGCGUUCCAUUAGAUAGUAGGCGGGGUAACGGCCCACCUAGUCUUCGAUGGAUAGGGGUUCUGAGAGGAAGGUCCCCCACAUUGGAACUGAGACACGGUCCAAACUCCUACGGGAGGCAGCAGUGAGGAAUAUUGGUCAAUGGGCGAGAGCCUGAACCAGCCAAGUAGCGUGAAGGAUGACUGCCCUAUGGGUUGUAAACUUCUUUUAUAAAGGAAUAAAGUCGGGUAUGUAUACCCGUUUGCAUGUACUUUAUGAAUAAGGAUCGGCUAACUCCGUGCCAGCAGCCGCGGUAAUACGGAGGAUCCGAGCGUUAUCCGGAUUUAUUGGGUUUAAAGGGAGCGUAGAUGGAUGUUUAAGUCAGUUGUGAAAGUUUGCGGCUCAACCGUAAAAUUGCAGUUGAUACUGGAUAUCUUGAGUGCAGUUGAGGCAGGCGGAAUUCGUGGUGUAGCGGUGAAAUGCUUAGAUAUCACGAAGAACUCCGAUUG